This is a long non-coding RNA of Lates calcarifer (barramundi perch), 568 nucleotides long. RefSeq lists it as uncharacterized. Lineage: Eukaryota; Metazoa; Chordata; Actinopteri; Centropomidae. The record is from RefSeq and is a predicted model, not a curated record. The transcript is spliced from 4 exons.
UUUGAAGUUGAUGGGUAUAAAUACUCGUGGUUCCAAACCAUCCGUUUGUUUCUUUCAUUCUGUGUUGGCAAGCAGCAAUCAUUACACUACAUUACACCACACUUUGACACUUGACACUACUUGAUUCUACAUCGAGGAUUUGCUCCAGCUUAGCGAUGCCAAGUAAGGCUGAGGCUGGUGCAUUAGGCUGUGAUACUGGUUGGUGCCACAAAGUGCCAAUUUCUACAUACAUGGUACAUGGUCAUUCCUGCUGAGUGUCCAGACAAGAAGUUUGUUGUUCUUGUAGGGGCCUCUCAUCUGCACUCCAUCACAGAUCAGAUCAUGACGUGGGUCGCUUUUCUUUUGGUUUCAUAUCGACUUCGGGGGCCUGUGCUGACCAGCUGAGGACUGAGGUGGUGCAUGCUGCUCUUUCUCGGAUCCCUGACGUGUGCAUGAUGGCCCCCAGCAACAAAUUGAUGGCCAGCAGGACAGUUGAUGAGGCGGUCGCAGCAUUUGGCCAGUACCUGGCCACUGUCUGCAGUCACUGGCCUAACAUAAAUCUUAAAGCUUAUGUUUUUCUUAAUCAGAU